UACGUAGGUGGCAAGCGUUGUCCGGAUUUACUGGGCGUAAAGAGCGCGCAGGCGGUCGUUCAAGUCGCGUGUGAAAGCCCCCGGCUCAACUGGGGAGGGUCACGCGAUACUGAUCGACUCGAAGGCAGGAGAGGGUAGUGGAAUUCCCGGUGUAGUGGUGAAAUGCGUAGAUAUCAUCUGGAAUACCGGAGGCGAAGGCGGCUCACUGGGGGUUUUCUGACGCUGAGGAACGAAAGCCAGGGUAGCGAACGGG
RNAcentral lists this ribosomal RNA (253 nucleotides) under uncultured bacterium. RNAcentral describes it as "partial 16S ribosomal RNA". It matches the Rfam family "Bacterial small subunit ribosomal RNA", at positions 524 to 776 of the family's 1533-position model. The record is from RNAcentral.